ACCCGCUGAACUUAAGCAUAUCAAUAAGCGGAGGAAAAGAAACCAACAGGGAUUGCCCUAGUAACGGCGAGUGAAGCGGCAACAGCUCAAAUUUGAAAUCUGGCUCUUUUAGAGUCCGAGUUGUAAUUUGCAGAGGGCGCUUUGGCUUUGGCAGCGGUCCAAGUUCCUUGGAACAGGACGUCACAGAGGGUGAGAAUCCCGUACGUGGUCGCUGGCUAUUGCCGUGUAAAGCCCCUUCGACGAGUCGAGUUGUUUGGGAAUGCAGCUCUAAAUGGGAGGUACAUUUCUUCUAAAGCUAAAUAUUGGCCAGAGACCGAUAGCGCACAAGUAGAGUGAUCGAAAGAUGAAAAGCACUUUGGAAAGAGAGUCAAACAGCACGUGAAAUUGUUGAAAGGGAAGCGCUUGCAGCCAGACUUGCUUACAGUUGCUCAUCCGGGCUUUUGCCCGGCGCACUCUUCUGUAGGCAGGCCAGCAUCAGUUUGGGCGGUAGGAUAAAGGUCUCUGUCACGUACCUCUCUUCGGGGAGGCCUUAUAGGGGAGACGACAUACUACCAGCCUGGACUGAGGUCCGCGCAUCUGCUAGGAUGCUGGCGUAAUGGCUGU
RNAcentral lists this ribosomal RNA (603 nucleotides) under uncultured fungus. RNAcentral describes it as "eukaryotic LSU rRNA". It matches the Rfam family "Eukaryotic large subunit ribosomal RNA", at positions 23 to 641 of the family's 3401-position model. The record is from RNAcentral. Lineage: Eukaryota; Fungi.